Molecule: ribosomal RNA, 301 nt
Filed under: uncultured bacterium
Lineage: Bacteria
Description: partial 16S ribosomal RNA
Rfam family: Bacterial small subunit ribosomal RNA
Source: RNAcentral
CAGCCGCCACGGUAAUACGAAGGGGGCUAGCGUUGCUCGGAAUUACUGGGCGUAAAGGGAGCGUAGGCGGAUCGUUAAGUUGGGGGUGAAAGCCCGGGGCUCAACCUCGGAACUGCCUUCAAUACUGGCGAUCUUGAGUAUGAGAGAGGUGUGUGGAACUCCGAGUGUAGAGGUGAAAUUCGUAGAUAUUCGGAAGAACACCAGUGGCGAAGGCGACACACUGGCUCAUUACUGACGCUGAGGCUCGAAAGCGUGGGGAGCAAACAGGAUUAGAUACCCGCGUAGUCCCUGUCUCUUAUAC